This 62-nucleotide small nuclear RNA is filed under the name Pan paniscus (pygmy chimpanzee). Lineage: Eukaryota; Metazoa; Chordata; Mammalia; Primates; Hominidae. The record is from RNAcentral.
GUGCUCACUUUGGCAGCACAUAUAACUAAAAUUGGAAUGCUGCAGAGAAGAUUAGCAUGGCC